Molecule: ribosomal RNA, 253 nt
Filed under: uncultured bacterium
Lineage: Bacteria
Description: partial 16S ribosomal RNA
Rfam family: Bacterial small subunit ribosomal RNA
Source: RNAcentral
UACGUAGGGUGCGAGCGUUGUCCGGAAUUACUGGGCGUAAAGAGCUCGUAGGUGGUUUGUCGCGUUGUUCGUGAAAACUCACAGCUUAACUGUGGGCGUGCGGGCGAUACGGGCAGACUGGAGUACUGCAGGGGAGACUGGAAUUCCUGGUGUAGCGGUGGAAUGCGCAGAUAUCAGGAGGAACACCGGUGGCGAAGGCGGUUCUCUGGGCCUGUACUGACGCUGAGGAACGAAAGCGUGGGGAGCGAACAGG